RNAcentral lists this long non-coding RNA (2391 nucleotides) under Mus musculus (house mouse). RNAcentral describes it as "long non-coding RNA chr11:75694253-75696644". Lineage: Eukaryota; Metazoa; Chordata; Mammalia; Rodentia; Muridae. The record is from RNAcentral.
GCCCUGGCUGUCCUGGAACUCACUCUGUAGACCAGGCUGGCCUCAGAAAUCCGCCUGCCUCUGCCUCCCGAGUGCUGGGAGUAAAGGCGUGCGCCACCACUACCCAGCGAGAUUAAGUCUUAAUUCUAAAAUACCAUGUCUUGGCUUUGAGAAAUGGACUGUGUGUUAUCUGGGUCACACUGCUUGGCAGAUGAAGAAAGCAAGUUGUGAGGCUGAUGUGGGUGAGGAGGUGCUGCUCUAUCUAACUGCUCUGUGCAUUAUGGACGGGCUCUUAGUGACAACAGACUGGGGUGUGAGGCAGCAGUCCUGGCCGGCGAGGAGAGUGUGUCAGUUCCACUUUAAAUUGGUACUUCUUGGCCAGGUUUUUUGUUUUUGUUUUUAAAGAUUUCUUUUAUUUGACAUGUAUGAAUGUUUUGCCUGUUUGUAUAUAUCAGGUCAGAACUGGAGUUAUGGGUGGUUGUGGGUUCUGGGAACUGAAUCUGGGUCCUCUGCAAGAGCAGCUGCUGAGCCAUCAUCUCACCAGCCCAAAGAGAGAUGAUUUUUAAGGCUGUCUCUGGUAAUUAGAGGCAUCAGUGAUUUAAAAUGGUUGAAUUGUUUUCUCAGUUUUGAAAUACUAUACAAAUCUUGCCUCCCAAAUUUGGGGAUUAAAUGUGUGUGCUACCAUACCUAGCCUUUUUAAGACAGGAUCCUGGUAUGUAGCUCAGGCUGGCCUCACACUAGUGCUGGGAGUAGAGGCCUGCGUUACCAUAUUGUUCGAUAAAUCUCAACUUCUAAGAGUAGAUCCCAAAGCUUACUUUAUGCUUCUGUAGACUACCCAGAACAGUGGUGUUUUCUUUACAUGUAGUCUCCAUUUUCUGAUUUAGCCUGAUAGAUAAGGCUUGAGAUGACUUGGAUAGUUUCGUACUUGGAGACCUUUUUGGAAGGGGGGGGUCUCACUGUGUACCUCUGGCUGGUCAGUAAUUUGUUAUGUAGACUAAGCCUGCCUUUGACUUGUAGAGAUCAUCUCACUACCAUUGCCUCCUAGGGCACCGUGCUCAGUGGGAACCUGCUUUUCAGGAUACAGAUGAGACAGAUAAGAGUAUGCUGCUGAGAGGCUAUUGGCCUAACUCUGCAUCUCUAUUUGGGCCCACAUUGAUGGUGCCUUUUUUUUUUCCCUAUAGUUUAUUUAUAGGGGAGGGAGUUGAGGGAGUAGAUCAGAGAAAGGGUGUGUAUGUGGGGAAGAAGAGUAGAGGCCAGCCAUGAGCAUGUGGAUAGAACUCGGGGAGGGGAAUGGAGAGAGGGGGAAAGAGGGUAAAAGUGAGAAGAGACAAGAGUGAUGGUGCUUUUUGACUCGUUCAUCCCUGUGGUAUUUGAGAUUAUGAAGAGCAGGCUAAAUCAGGCUGAUCUGGAUAUCAGCUGGCCUUGAACAUUAUCUUCCUCCUUAACCUUCAAAUACUUUUUUGAUGUUUUUCUUGUUUUGUUUUUUAAUUACAAGUUCUUUUUUCUUGUUUUCUUGUUAAAUUAGGGUUUAAGCAGGGGUGUAUACUUAGCCCUCAAAUGCUGAGAUCACAAACCUCUGUCACUAUGCUUGGAUUCAGUCUUAAGUAUUUGUAUCCUAAUAACUUAAUGGCUGUUUUUAGAAACAAUAAAUGUAAUUAAAAGAAAAUAUUUUUAGUUCAGCAUUAAAUAACUGUCAGAACUUGUCUCGUGAGAUGCGUUCAUCAGUUAGAUAACCUCUAGUUUUCAGACCUGGGGUCAUGUUGACAUUGCACUCUGAUCUUUCCCUAGCAUUUGUAUUUGUGAGUUACACACUCAUCAUACAAAUAAGUCUAUAUGACAUUUUUUGUACUGUGCUCAUAUUCACAUCCUAUGUCCACUCUUGCUUCUAUUUUCUUUGUUAGUUGUUAAAUAUUUAAAGGGUUAUGUUUUUGUGUUUAUUUUUGGGAACACAUGUAUGUAAUAACUUUAUUUUUUUAUGUGGAGGUCUAGAGGACAGCUUGUGGAAGUCAAGUCUCUUCUACCAUGUGGGACUAAACUCACCGAGUGCCUUUAGAGCCAUCUGUCCAGACCUUGGUAUUUUGAAGACUGGGUCUGUAGCCCAUUCUGUUCUCCAUUUCCUUGUGUAGUGAAGAUGGUCUUUUUUUUUUUUUUUUUCCGAAGCUGAGGACCGAACCCAGGGCCUUGGGCUUGCUAGGCAAGCGCUCUACCACUGAGCUAAAUCCCCAACCCCGUGAAGAUGGUCUUAAUCCUGAUCCUUUGCCUCCGUCUCCCAAGUGGUUUAUUUUAUCAUUACAAACUUCCACAACCCAACUUCUUUCAAGUAUCUGUAGUGUAUCCUAAUGUCAAAAUUGAACUUCCUCAAGCCAUUAACUCAAUACAGAUCAAGUAUCACUGUGUUUCCCUCAGCAUCUU